GCACUGGGGGGUAAGACGAGGGAUCCUAGCGUUGUUCGGAAUCAUUGGGCGUAAAGCGGAUGUAGGUGGCUUUGUAAGUCAGAUGUGAAAGCCCAGGGCUCAACCCNGGAAGUGCAUUUGAUACUGCGAAGCUUGAGUGUUGGAGAGGUUACUAGAAUUGUUGGUGUAGUGGUGAAAUACGUAGAUAUCAACAGGAAUACCGGAGGCGAAGGCGGGUAACUGGCCGAACACUGACACUGAGAUCCGAAAGCGUGGGGAUCAAACAGGAUUAGAUACCCUGGUAGUCCACGCCGUAAACGAUGGAUACUUGUUGUUGGAGGUAUUGACCCCUUCAUGU
Molecule: ribosomal RNA, 337 nt
Filed under: uncultured soil bacterium
Lineage: Bacteria
Description: SSU rRNA
Rfam family: Bacterial small subunit ribosomal RNA
Source: RNAcentral